CCGGUACAAACCAUUAAAAAAUUUCGGUACCAUGUUUUCUUCUUUUUACUUAUGCAGAAGUUCACCGAGGGGACUAGUUAUUACCAUUUUGCGGUAGUUUUUACGCAUUGGUUUGCCCCUUUCACAAGAUUUUGACACUUUUUCGCCAGCUUCGCCGCGCGCCAAAUCUUGUUUUUGUUUAUGUAUUUUGAUAGUAAACAUCGGUUACCCACAAAAAUAAAACGAUGUUCUUCAACUUAUCCGGUUAGUCCGCGGUUGCGACCGAAAUCCAUCGGCAAAUAAAUUAGGUAAUUUGCGCGGCGAACCUCCAGUGGUGGGCAGCGCAGCAACAAAAAUUGCACCAGCAGCGGCAAAGCUAAACUGCCGGUUAGUUUUUUUCCCCGUUCCGAGAACCGGACAUAAAGUGUAUCGCCGGUGGACAAAGGACACGCAGCGAAAGAAUCUGCAGCAAACAUUUUCGUCGAAAGCGAAAAAGCGGUGCAAACUGAAAUCGGGUGCCGUGCCGUCUGUUAAAAUCCCAGUCGGAUGUGUAUAAGAACAGACCGGGCAAUACGUGUUGUAUCCCGCAAUGUAGUCCACAUAAAAGGAAAACAAUCAUGCACUCCCGGCACGAUAGGCGGCAGUCUUGGCGGCAGUGGAAAAUUGCUAUCGGGAUGGAGGACACCGAUGAUCCGACAGGCCUCCGGAUUAGCAGUCGCCAUUUCAAAACAUCAGACUUCAUCAAAGCCAUUCCUGAUAGCCAUGGCUGAUAUUCAUCACGCUCCAAGAGCAAAUAGGCUACUUGGCAAGCUGGAACUAUUGCGCCGUCAAUAGAUCGCACAAUCGUCGCGUCUCAAACGGGGUUGAAUUUCGUCAAAAUAUGUAUAUUGUUAAACAUUUGAUACAUUAAAUUGCGAGGGGAAGGGGCAGUUUCACCAGUAAUUGUUAAAUAUCCGAAAACCCCCCAAACGAAUAAAACGUCUUAAUACACCGUAAGUAAGGUCUAUCAGUAUAGCACGUUCAACAGCAAACUAGUCUAUCGAACUAUAAAAGGUGCGAAUUCGCCUUGAAAAAUUUGGACGUUACUUCUUUAAGAAGUUGUUCCAUAGGUCCAAGAAUAUUUGAUCUUAUUAGGCCUUCUUAUUAUUCCAUAGGUCCAAGAAUAUGUUGUCUUAUUUGACCCACCACGGCCUCGCAAAUUGCAUGGAGAUGCAAGAAACAUAAUUUUGGAACAGUUCACUUCUUCAGUUCCAGAGGUCCAAGGUUU
Aedes albopictus (Asian tiger mosquito) is the source of this 1246-nucleotide long non-coding RNA. RefSeq lists it as uncharacterized. The record is from RefSeq and is a predicted model, not a curated record. The transcript is spliced from 3 exons. Lineage: Eukaryota; Metazoa; Arthropoda; Insecta; Diptera; Culicidae.